AGGAUGAACGCUGGCGGCGUGCUUAAUACAUGCAAGUCGAGCGGUAAGGCCCCUUCGGGGGUACACGAGCGGCGGACGGCUGAGUAACGCGUGGGAACGUACCCCAAAGUGAGGGAUAAGCACCAGAAAUGGUGUCUAAUACCGCAUGUGCUCUAAGGAGUAAAGCUCCGGCGCUUUGGGAACGGCCUGCGUCCGAUUAGCUUGUUGGUGAGGUAAUGGCUUACCAAGGCUACGAUCGGUAGCUGGUCUGAGAGGAUGACCAGCCAGACUGGGACUGAGAACGGCCCAGACUCCUACGGGAGGCAGCAGUAGGGAAUUUUCCGACAAUGGGCGAGAGCCUGAUGGAGCAACGCCGCGUGCAGGAUGAAGGCCCUAGGGUCGUAAACUGCUUUUAUGUAUGAAGAUUAUGACGGUAAUACAUGAAUAAGGAUCGGACUACUCCGUGCCAGCAGCCGC
This 456-nucleotide ribosomal RNA is filed under the name uncultured bacterium. RNAcentral's name for it is "SSU rRNA". It matches the Rfam family "Bacterial small subunit ribosomal RNA", at positions 26 to 518 of the family's 1533-position model. The record is from RNAcentral.